CACGUAGGAGGCGAACGUUAUCCGGAAUUACUGGGCGUAAAGCGCGCGUAGGCGGCUCUGUAAGUCCGACGUGAAAGCUCCUGGCUUAACUGGGAGAGGUCGUUGGAUACUGCAAAGCUCGAGGUUAGGAGAGGAAAGUGGAAUUCCCGGUGUAGUGGUGGAAUGCGUAGAUAUCGGGAGGAACUCCAGUGGCGAAAGCGACUUUCUGGCCUACACCUAACGCUGAAGCGCGAAAGCGUGGGGAGCGAACAGG
RNAcentral lists this ribosomal RNA (253 nucleotides) under uncultured bacterium. Its description in RNAcentral is "partial 16S ribosomal RNA". It matches the Rfam family "Bacterial small subunit ribosomal RNA", at positions 524 to 776 of the family's 1533-position model. The record is from RNAcentral.